UGAGGGUGGGCGGUGGAGGUGGAGUUUUUUCUCCGCUGGUUUUUCAUCUCUAUGAUUAUCAGAGGCGGGCGGCUUUGACCCAAGAGAAUUGGCAGCUCUAGUGUGGACAGCUCAGGGGCCUGAGAGGAGUCCUUAGUCGUGUCUGCUUCCAGUCCUCCGCUUUCCUUCAGCUCACCUCGUCUCGUCCCUUUUCGCUGUCCCGGGAGAUCUGCCAGUGCCGAGUUCCCAACCGCAAGGUUCACUUGGGCGCCGUCGUCUCUCGCUUCUCGGACAACCAGGAGACGCACAGGAAGUACAUUGUACCAGCUUACACGUUCCUUAGCAGUGCCAUUUCUACAGUAUUGCCAAAUGUUUCGUCUUAACUCCCUUUCUGCACUAGCAGAACUGGCUGUGGGCUCUCGAUGUUACCAUGGAGGAUCACAGCCCACCCAGAUGAGGCGACGACUAGUGAUGGUGGCUUUCCUGGGAGCAUCUGCAGUGACUGCAAGUACCGGUCUCCUGUGGAAGAGGCGAGUGUUCGCUGAGGAUCCUCUUCCUGCACGUGCUUUCAUUUUUCUAGUUGUCUCUGCUCUCUCAAAGGAUUACAUUGAUUUCUGGCUUAACUUUGUACCAUAAUUUCUUGGCCAAAUCAUUUGGCGUUGAUAAUAUGUGUCUAUGAGAUAAGAUGUUUCAAAGAAUUCAGCAAUUGUGUUAAAGCAACAAAUAGGAAAUAUUCUGCUUCAAGGUCUGCCUGUCUCCUCUGCUGAGCUAUUUAAA
Non-coding RNA from Callorhinus ursinus (northern fur seal), 756 nucleotides. The record is from RefSeq and is a predicted model, not a curated record. Lineage: Eukaryota; Metazoa; Chordata; Mammalia; Carnivora; Otariidae.